Non-coding RNA from Schistosoma mansoni, 45 nucleotides. NCBI's taxonomy places the organism in Eukaryota, Metazoa, Platyhelminthes, Trematoda, Strigeidida, Schistosomatidae. The record is from Rfam.
AUCCAACUGACGAGUCCCAAACAGAACGAAACGUGCGUCUUGAAU